UCUGAGAUUUAGUUCUGAUUGUGCCAUUAAUAGAACAUGAGCAAGACACAUAGCCUUUCUCUACAUUCCAAAGGAUAUAAAUGGAAUUGAGGCUGACUACUCAAAUCCACCUUUGGAUGUCCCCACCUUCCUAUGAAGUCUGUCACUGGCUUCUCUAUCCCUCGGGACUACAGAAGUAGGCUUAAAAUCUUCAUCUCCUGUAAGCCAUUCAGACAUUUGCAGAGAGCUGCCUUCAGUCUUAUUUUCUAAGGUGAGCACUUGGAGGCAAGCUUCAACACCUACCACGCCGUCAGGUGUGUUACAGGAGCAAUAU
Molecule: non-coding RNA, 313 nt
Organism: Callorhinus ursinus (northern fur seal)
Lineage: Eukaryota; Metazoa; Chordata; Mammalia; Carnivora; Otariidae
Source: RefSeq, a predicted model, not a curated record